RNAcentral lists this ribosomal RNA (1577 nucleotides) under Bacillus pumilus. Its description in RNAcentral is "bacterial SSU rRNA". The stretch from base 1 to 945 matches the Rfam family "Bacterial small subunit ribosomal RNA", at positions 536 to 1533 of the family's 1533-position model. Lineage: Bacteria; Bacillati; Bacillota; Bacilli; Caryophanales; Bacillaceae. The record is from RNAcentral.
CCGAGUCGUUCGCAUAUGGGCGUAAGGGCUCGCAGGCGGUUUCUUAGUCUGAUGUGAAAGCCCCCGGCUCAACCGGGGAGGGUCAUUGGAAACUGGGGAACUUGAGUGCAGAAGAGGAGAGUGGAAUUCCACGUGUAGCGGUGAAAUGCGUAGAGAUGUGGAGGAACACCAGUGGCGAAGGCGACUCUCUGGUCUGUAACUGACGCUGAGGAGCGAAAGCGUGGGGAGCGAACAGGAUUAGAUACCCUGGUAGUCCACGCCGUAAACGAUGAGUGCUAAGUGUUAGGGGGUUUCCGCCCCUUAGUGCUGCAGCUAACGCAUUAAGCACUCCGCCUGGGGAGUACGGUCGCAAGACUGAAACUCAAAGGAAUUGACGGGGGCCCGCACAAGCGGUGGAGCAUGUGGUUUAAUUCGAAGCAACGCGAAGAACCUUACCAGGUCUUGACAUCCUCUGACAACCCUAGAGAUAGGGCUUUCCCUUCGGGGACAGAGAGACAGGUGGUGCAUGGUUGUCGUCACCUCGUGUCGUGAGAUGUUGGGUUAAGUCCCGCAACGAGCGCAACCCUUGAUCUUAGUUGCCAGCAUUCAGUUGGGCACUCUAAGGUGACUGCCGGUGACAAACCCCAGAAAAGUGGGGAUGACAUCAAAUCAUCAUGCCCCUUAUGACCUGGGCUACACACGUGCUACAAUGGACAGAACACAGGGCUGCGAGACCGCAAGGUUUAGCCAAUCCCACAAAUCUGUUCUCAGUUCGGAUAGCAGUCUGCAACUCUACUGCGUGAAACUGGAAUCUCUAUUAAUCUCGGAUCACCAUGCCGCGGGGGAAUACGUUCCCGGGCCUUGUAUACACCGCCCGUGACACCACGAGAGUUUGAGGACGAACGCUGGCGGCGUGCCUAAUACAUGCAAGUCGAGCGGACAGAAGGGAGCUUGCUCCCGGAUGUUAGCGGCGGACGGGUGAGUAACACGUGGGUAACCUGCCUGUAAGACUGGGAUAACUCCGGGAAACCGGAGCUAAUACCGGAUAGUUCCUUGAACCGCAUGGUUCAAGGAUGAAAGACGGUUUCGGCUGUCACUUACAGAUGGACCCGCGGCGCAUUAGCUAGUUGGUGAGGUAACGGCUCACCAAGGCGACGAUGCGUAGCCGACCUGAGAGGGUGAUCGGCCACACUGGGACUGAGACACGGCCCAGACUCCUACGGGAGGCAGCAGUAGGGAAUCUUCCGCAAUGGACGAAAGUCUGACGGAGCAACGCCGCGUGAGUGAUGAAGGUUUUCGGAUCGUAAAGCUCUGUUGUUAGGGAAGAACAAGUGCAAGAGUAACUGCUUGCACCUUGACGGUACCUAACCAGAAAGCCACGGCUAACUACGUGCCAGCAGCCGCGGUAAUACGUAGGUGGCAAGCGUUGUCCGGAAUUAUUGGGCGUAAAGGGCUCGCAGGCGGUUUCUUAAGUCUGAUGUGAAAGCCCCCGGCUCAACCGGGGAGGGUCAUUGGAAACUGGGAAACUUGAGUGCAGAAGAGGAGAGUGGAAUUCCACGUGUAGCGGUGAAAUGCGUAGAGAUGUGGAGGAACACCAG